AUGGACAGUGGGACUCUGCAGCAGUUGAGGCAUGGAAAUUCAGCAUUACUGCUGUUMUCCUUAUGCAUGUUUCCAGCGAUUGAGGACUUCAUCUUGCAGUUUGAAUUGUCAGAUGGAUUAGUGUUUGAAACAGGAAUUUGCACACUGACCACAGAAUGGAUCCACCAAGCAGCUCUGAAAGAUAUGAACAAGAACUGUCAGCUGUGUUGCAGGGAAGGAGAUGGUGACACAGAUAUGGCCUUCAAGAAAUCUCACCUACUACUUGUGCUACUUCUCACAAGUAGCAAACUACUGCACUGAAUUGAAUUCCUAGCAAAGAGGCGUCUAGAGUCCAYGCAGUGCUGCUGUACGAGAUCCACAGUGGAAACCAUUCAAGGUGAGCAUAGAAAGGGAAGCUAAUGUCUCUGCUUUAUUGUAGCCUAAUAACACAUUUAGGUCAGGCAGU
This 445-nucleotide long non-coding RNA is filed under the name Dromaius novaehollandiae (emu). RNAcentral's name for it is "lncRNA (ENSDNVG00000014374.1)". The record is from RNAcentral. Lineage: Eukaryota; Metazoa; Chordata; Aves; Casuariiformes; Dromaiidae.